Molecule: RNA transcript, 2940 nt
Organism: Cyanidioschyzon merolae strain 10D
Lineage: Eukaryota; Rhodophyta; Bangiophyceae; Cyanidiales; Cyanidiaceae
Exons: 1
Source: RefSeq, a predicted model, not a curated record
AGCUAAGGCGACCCCUGCAUCACUAGAGACGCUUCCGUGACGCAGAAGCUGCAGACCCGCGACACACACGGGCGUCGCUGUAAGAUGGAUCGACUCAGUUUCUGGAUAACGAACGUAGGCUACGUGUGUUGCGACUUUAUUGGGUGCACUGGGGCAGUUGCGGUACGGAGUGAGGGCGCCUUCUCGAUACCGUCUGUACCCUGUGCGUGCGGCGGGCGUCUGUGGACGUCGCACUCGUUCAGGGGCGUUUCACCACACCAUGACAAACUCGAGCUCAAAGCAUCACCGUUCAGGACGGCCUCGUGCGGAUGUUAUCUCCAAGCAUGCUCGAUAGUUCCGGAGGCAGCGCUCUGGCCUCGCCCACUGCGGUGUCGACGACACCAGAGCAUUCUCCUCGGACUCUAUAGGAUGCUCAGCGCAGCAAAGCGGUUAUGUGGGAAUGGAUAUAUUGACUCUAUUUAUAUCAUAUGGUUUAGUUUCAAUCUGUAAUCUUUGUGACGCCGCCGUCUUGACGCGCCUCGGCGCGGCUCCGACAACUCGGUGCCGUCUUGUUCGAGCUGACUCGUAUUCACCAAUGAGGCUUCGGACGUGGUUAGUUGACGGAAUUAGAAGAAACGCUGCGGCAUGUUGUGCGAUCUGCCGAGCGGGGCUUUUUUUUGGGUGAAGGACCUCUGUGUCGUUUAAACGAUCCUUUUCCCAAAGGAAAGUCUACGCGGAUCCGCAACCAGCCCGUGGCAGUCGCCUUGUCCGUGGACGUAUUCACCACGAGAACAUUGGCUACCGACGCCAGCACACACUCAAUAAGCUAAUGUUGCUUUUUUCGCGCCCAACAGAACGUAAGUAAACUGGAAUUGCUCCGGACGCAACGGAUCAACUCGGGGAAGACUCUGCUAAGCGUUCCUCGUUAUCAGAGCGCUACGUACGGUUUACGGGAGGGUCCUGGAUUAGCCCCUAAACCAGGCUCGGUGCGAACAGGUGCGCCCUGAUUCGAUGCCAGCCGUUUGGCUCUGGGUGAAAGUCCCCGGACAGUAGGUCAGAGAGUGUCGGUGGUAAGCAAAGCUGGGCGUUUCAGGUCGCGCACACUUCUGCUCGCGGGACUGCAACCACAGAACCCCAAUAAGAGCGGGAGUGCUGCGCGACAGUGAACGUCGCUUGUCGAUGGUGCAGCGCUGGAACCUGCUGCCGCGUUGGGGUGCUUGCGCCCCAUGUUUGGCAGCGGCAGCCUGCACUGAAUCAGCAAUGGAACGAGCGAGAGCGACCGUCCUUCAUGGACGGCGACUCGUGAACACAAUGGGGCUUACUCUGGCAGUGUGCUCCCUAUGUUGGCCAUUCGAGACGGAACCGGUUAUGUCGCUACCAGCAACUGUCUCAGUGUCGUGAGACGCGCCCCGGUCGAUGGGCGUAUUCUUCGAGCAGCGGCCAGCUGUAGUGCCUGGACCUGCCAGUCGCUUGCAACUGGUCGCCAGCGUACGCUCAUCAAAACGGUGGCGUCCCCGCGACCUGCUUCAGUUCCUUGGACCAGAUUACUAACCUUUUUUUAGCACUGAUUUGACCAGAUUCAGGAUCGCAGUUUCCACGCCUAGUCGUGGAGGCAGCAGAAUUUCCCGUCCAGCUUGACGCCGCGCAUAGCGAUGAGGCAUGUUAUCCACGCAAAUCGAACUCGUGACUGAAGCGAAGAUGCUGUAGGAAGCAGAGGCUGUAGCACGAGCUGCCAAGACCGUGCCUGUUGUGGCAACAGCCAGUGUGGACAUUCAUACACCUUUGGAAGAGAACUCCGUCGUCUGUGUUUCUCUCGUGGAACAGGCGAUCACGGAUUUCAAGCUCACAGGCAAAACAGCCCCCAAGAUAUCCUGUUUAGAGCGUCCGCGAAUGCGCACGUAUUCCAUAGCCGCUAUGCACUAGCAACAAAUUGUGAAAGCUAUUCAAGCCUAGAAGGCUAUGGUCACAGGAAACACCCGGAUUCGAAUCGCAACGCGAGUCCCCGGACCCACGAGCAAAGCACCCGCACUGAGAUCCAUCACAUACCAUUGUGAAGAUUCUCUGGAUGACUCGAGUUGUGCCUCUGCAUCCCUGCUGACACCUCGGCAGUCUGCAUGCAAAGCAGUCUUCGACUCCGCGAAGCAAUCGUCAUUGGCUGUACUUCAGAGCGCAUGGACUUGCGCUACGCACAGGCGCUCAUCUGCAGCUUGGAGCACUCUAUACGUCGUGCCUCAAGGAACGAGCUCCGAGUGCGGGUUCAGUCGAGUUGGCGAGCGGGUUUCAUCGAUACCAACGCGCAAUUCCCGCGACAAGUUUCCAGUAAGAGGCGGGCCGCCAUACAAAUCACCUAAAUACGCCUUGUACGCUGGCAUAAACUUAUCGACAAACGCGUAGACCUGCUCAUCGGUCAUGGCUGGUCGCCCUGCAGCCCGCAUCUGCUGUUCAGCCUCGAGGCGCCACUGGUACACAAUCCGUAAGGAUUCACUUAAUUUCGGACCAUCCAAUGCAAUGACAAUAAAUGCAUCCAAGAGCGGGUAGAGCCGACUAAAGUCUUCCGCGAGGAAUCGAUCGACUUGCAUCAAAUGACGCAAGGUAAUCGGGUCCAUUGUAGCAGGUCGCUCGUGUAGCGCCAGCGGUCGGAAUCCGAGGCACCAGCCCUCCAGGAAGACGACAUCAACAGGCCGGCUCACAAGGGGCCACUGCUCUGGCGGAGCACGAUCGCCCAGUCCUUGAAAGGCGGACUUGUCGUAACGCGGCACCGCAACCUCUGCAUGUUCCCCUGGAUACGGUGCAGCUACCACCUCGUUCAAAACCUGCAGCGCAAGCGAGAUAUCGUGCGUCCCCGGGUUGCCUCUUGAGCCCAGCAGCGGAUUCUCGGGAAACGCUCUGGCUAGUGCCUCCUGCUCGCGACGAGUUAGAUAAAAAUCAUCGAUGCUGAGAGAUACACACCGACGUUGCUCG